RNAcentral lists this ribosomal RNA (497 nucleotides) under uncultured bacterium. Its description in RNAcentral is "partial 16S ribosomal RNA". It matches the Rfam family "Bacterial small subunit ribosomal RNA", at positions 28 to 507 of the family's 1533-position model. The record is from RNAcentral.
GACGAACGCUGGCGGCGUGCUUAACACAUGCAAGUCGAACGGUGAAGCGCCUUCCUUUUUGGUGGGUGGGGAUGAGUGGCGAACGGGUGAGUAACACGUUAGUAACCUUCUCCGUUCUUCUUGAUAACCGCAUGACAGUGUUGCUAAUACGGGAUAUUCUGGGUCUGUUGCAUGAUGGGUCUGGGAAAGUUAUGGUUUCGGUUGGUGAUGGGCUCGCGGCCUAUCAGCUUGUUGGUGGGGUGAUGGCCUACCAAGGCGGCGACGGGUAGCCGGCCUGAGAGGGUGGUCGACGACAACAGUGCGGCGAAGACGCGCAGACUCCUCCGAGAGGCAGCAGCAGUGAGGCAUCUUGAACGGGCGGAGCAAGGACGAUGCAGCGACGCGGGGUGGGGGAAGGUGGUCUUAGCGUUGUACACCUCUUUUGGGAGUGAAGAAGGGCUGAAUUGUUUGUGCGCGGGUUGACGGUAGCUGAACAAGAAGCGACGGCUAACUACGUG